Molecule: long non-coding RNA, 829 nt
Organism: Scophthalmus maximus (turbot)
Lineage: Eukaryota; Metazoa; Chordata; Actinopteri; Pleuronectiformes; Scophthalmidae
Exons: 3
Source: RefSeq, a predicted model, not a curated record
UUAAGGUGUUUUUAACACAAGUGUUAAUGUCACAUAUCAGACUUUUUAACGUAGAGGAUGCGGUGUGUUAUUGGUUAUUGCGCAUGUACGGUAACUUAAAAUGAAACAGAAGAACACAAGAAGUUUGAUUCAUAUAUUUUACUAAAACUGACACAAUAGAUAAUUAGGAUGCAGGAACGGACUUGUUGUGAUCGCCUGUGACGUGGUUUGUCUGUGUAGUUUUCCUCCAGAGGAUCCGGGUAGACAGUACCAGUGGAAGCUCAACAUGAGGCAGAACUGAACUCGGACUCGUCACUUCACCACUGAACUCCUAUGGGAAGGACCUGCCUGAAGGACUCCACUGUGCUGACUAUGUUCUGUCUCCACGAGCAAAGAAGUUUUCGGCACCACUGUGGAUGAUGAGGCCGUCAGCUGCUGCUCUUCCUCAUGGAGUGGAAACAGAGUGGAAUAAGGCUUUUCUACCCCAGUCCACAAGCCAAACACAGCACGCCAAGGUCUGUAGCUCUCUGGACACCUCGGCGGACAAACUCAUCACCAUGUCCACAUUGUGACUGUAGGAUUUAAAUUAAUAAAUGAUUGUGAUAAAUGCUUCAGAUAAUGAAAAUGUGAAGUCCACUAAAGAGUUUUUAUGUUGACAACACUGCUAUGUCACAUCUGAAGGAUAAAAUGGAACUAAAGAGCUACAUCUCAGAAUAUAGAUGAGUCUAAUACUUUAAUUUUAGACAGACUAUUUAACUGUAAAGUCAAGCAGCCACGACUGGUACUGGUUUGUUUUUGUACAGCUAGUGGAAGGAUCACAGUUGAACUCAACAACAACCAAUGUGCUGGA